AGCAGCGUGGCUCAGUGGCAAGAGGCCGGGCUUGGGAGUCAGAGGUCACGGGUUCGAAUCCCGUCUCUGCCC
Non-coding RNA from Ornithorhynchus anatinus (platypus), 72 nucleotides. NCBI's taxonomy places the organism in Eukaryota, Metazoa, Chordata, Mammalia, Monotremata, Ornithorhynchidae. The record is from Rfam.